Molecule: ribosomal RNA, 1479 nt
Filed under: Acinetobacter sp.
Lineage: Bacteria; Pseudomonadati; Pseudomonadota; Gammaproteobacteria; Moraxellales; Moraxellaceae
Description: bacterial SSU rRNA
Rfam family: Bacterial small subunit ribosomal RNA
Source: RNAcentral
AGAGUUUGAUCCUGGCUCAGAUCGAACGCUGGCGGCAGGCUUAACACAUGCAAGUCGAGCGGGGGAAGGUAGCUUGCUACCGGACCUAGCGGCGGACGGGUGAGUAAUACUUAGGAAUCUGCCUAUUAGUGGGGGACAACGUUUCGAAAGGGACGCUAAUACCGCAUACGCCCUACGGGGGAAAGCAGGGGAUCUUCGGACCUUGCGCUAAUAGAUGAGCCUAAGCCGGAUUAGCUAGUUGGUGGGGUAAAGGCCUACCAAGGCGACGAUCUGUAGCGGGUCUGAGAGGAUGAUCCGCCACACUGGGACUGAGACACGGCCCAGACUCCUACGGGAGGCAGCAGUGGGGAAUAUUGGACAAUGGGGGGAACCCUGAUCCAGCCAUGCCGCGUGUGUGAAGAAGGCCUUUUGGUUGUAAAGCACUUUAAGCGAGGAGGAGGAGCUCUAGGUUAAUACCUUAGAUGCUUGGACGUUACUCGCAGAAUAAGCACCGGCUAACUCUGUGCCAGCAGCCGCGGUAAUACAGAGGGUGCGAGCGUUAAUCGGAUUUACUGGGCGUAAAGCGUACGUAGGCGGCUUUUUAAGUCGGAUGUGAAAUCCCUGAGCUUAACUUAGGAAUUGCAUCCGAUACUGGGAAGCUAGAGUAUGGGAGAGGAUGGUAGAAUUCCAGGUGUAGCGGUGAAAUGCGUAGAGAUCUGGAGGAAUACCGAUGGCGAAGGCAGCCAUCUGGCCUAAUACUGACGCUGAGGUACGAAAGCAUGGGGAGCAAACAGGAUUAGAUACCCUGGUAGUCCAUGCCGUAAACGAUGUCUACUAGCCGUUGGGGCCUUUGAGGCUUUAGUGGCGCAGCUAACGCGAUAAGUAGACCGCCUGGGGAGUACGGUCGCAAGACUAAAACUCAAAUGAAUUGACGGGGGCCCGCACAAGCGGUGGAGCAUGUGGUUUAAUUCGAUGCAACGCGAAGAACCUUACCUGGCCUUGACAUACAGAGAACUUUCCAGAGAUGGAUUGGUGCCUUCGGGAACUCUGAUACAGGUGCUGCAUGGCUGUCGUCAGCUCGUGUCGUGAGAUGUUGGGUUAAGUCCCGCAACGAGCGCAACCCUUUUCCUUAUUUGCCAGCACUUCGGGUGGGAACUUUAAGGAUACUGCCAGUGACAAACUGGAGGAAGGCGGGGACGACGUCAAGUCAUCAUGGCCCUUACGGCCAGGGCUACACACGUGCUACAAUGGUCGGUACAAAGGGUUGCUACCUAGCGAUAGGAUGCUAAUCUCAAAAAGCCGAUCGUAGUCCGGAUUGGAGUCUGCAACUCGACUCCAUGAAGUCGGAAUCGCUAGUAAUCGCGGAUCAGAAUGCCGCGGUGAAUACGUUCCCGGGCCUUGUACACACCGCCCGUCACACCAUGGGAGUUUGUUGCACCAGAAGUAGGUAGUCUAACCGCAAGGAGGACGCUUACCACGGUGUGGCCGACGACUGGGGUG